Amphimedon queenslandica is the source of this 839-nucleotide long non-coding RNA. RefSeq lists it as uncharacterized. The transcript has 4 exons. Lineage: Eukaryota; Metazoa; Porifera; Demospongiae; Haplosclerida; Niphatidae. The record is from RefSeq and is a predicted model, not a curated record.
ACAGUUACAUUGCAGAAGAAGAAGAAGAAGAGAAACCAUCAAAGAAAGAAGAUGAAGAUGAAGGAGGAGGAGGAGGAGGAUCUCUCAAUAUCUACUGCUGAGGCUCAUGGUCAUUCAGUUAUUAUUCCUAAUUAUCCUGAUGCUGAUAGACUGGCCUUGGCGGAAAAGCAACUGGGGAAUACUAAUGAGGGAGGGAGGGGCAACUGGUGAUUGUUUACUGGCAAUGAGAUUGGGAGCAUGUUGGGCUGGUAGGCCAUGGAAAACUUUAAGAAAAAGAACAAAAAUUUUGACGGUUCUGAAGUCCAUUUAAUAUGCAGUACAGUUUCAUCAAAAGUAUUACGAUCAAUAGCUAAAGUUGAAGGGAUCCAGUUUUCAGAAACUCUCACUGGGUUCAGUGGAUGGGUAACUUAAGCCACAGCUUCCUUGAGAAAGUGGGAGAGGAGGCUUUUUUGCUUUUGAAGAAGCAAUAGGAUUCAUGUUCGGUACUACAGUACUGGAUAAAGAUGGAGUGAGUGGAGCUACUGUGACUGGAGAAAUGGCUGCCUACCUUUAAUGGACAGAGAUUCUCUUCACUAUUGGGAGACAUUUAUUUAAAUAUGGUCAAGUUAAUUGUCUUAAGCAAUUCUUAUUUUAUAUGUCACUCAAAAUAAACGAUAAAAGAACUCUUUGAUGGACUGAGAAAAGAUGGACCAGUAAUUAUAAUGAGCUAGUGUACAGUAUUUUGAAUAAAAUGUCCCUCCUCUAUCUCCUACAGUGUCCCAGUACUUGUGGUCCAGCUGGUGUUACUAGUGUAUGUGAUAUUACUGUUGGGUAUGACAGUACCAGACCUCCUCACUAUA